UCAUUUCUCGUUGGGAGCUCUCCAUGAUUUCUGAUUCACAACCAUCCAUGGCCCAAACGCCUCCUCUUCUUUCCCCUCGAUGUUACCAACCGACACCACCUCCUUCUCCCUUGGGUGAUCCAGAUUAUCAACGGAAUGAGGACAUAGAGCCUUCAUAUGGCCAUUCCUGCCACAACCAAAACAAAUCAACGGUAAGGCCACAUAUUCUACUCGUUGAACUGUUCUAUUUACCAGAAUCUGAGGGAUCAGUGGUUUGUCAAGGUCAACAUAAAUCGCCAUUUGAGCAAAUCUCCCCCUCGACCUACUAUUUCUAUUGUAGUCGAGUUUUUCCACUCUACCAAUGAAACCGCCAAUCUCUUCUAAAAUCUUUCUCUUAUAUAGAAACCCCAGCAAACCUGGCAAUCUAAUCCACGUCAUAACAACAUUUGGAAAUAGUUGCAAGGGAUUAAAAUCUGGCAUCCACGGUUGAACGGUUAAAUAUUGUCCGAACACAACACAUGGCUCUUGUGUAAGCUCUUUUUCAGAAUCAUCGUUGCUUUGGAAUUUCACCAAAAAGUACCCAUGUUCCACAUCUAUAAGUUUAAACGGCAUGGAUGGCUGCCAUAAAUUAUAAAUCUUGUUUUGUAGGGUGGUAUAGCCAAUGUUCCUCCCCCAAAAGCUUAACAACCACCAUGGUAGCCAUCUCCUUUACCAGGAUUCGCUGAACCCGAUUAGAGAACAUUAUUGACAGAACUCCAUUAACAGUGGAUCUCAUGACAUCUCUAUCCAAUAGUUCAAAAUAUUCCUCAAACCCCCAUCCGAAUCAACAGAUGAGUUUUUAGACCCAAGAGCUCCCCUACCCAGAAGCCUAUCCUUCCAAGAAAGCAUUGGCUCAGGAGACAUAUCUACGAUCAUAUCAACGCCUUCCUCCCCAUCUGUUCCCUUAAAGCGCACUUUUUUGGUGGCCCGAUCUUCCGACGAGCGAAACCCACCACUAUCUUCUAUUGACAUUCUCAAAAGUUAAAUGUAAGUGUUUAUUGAAACUUAUUAUAUGUUUUGAUUUCCAAAACCAAUAAGUUUUCUUAAUUGAACUUAAUCCAAAGCAAAUAUUUAGGUAGCAUUUUAAUGGGGGACUGUUUUGUUCAUAUGUAUUUAAUUUACUUAUUUUUCCAAUAAAAAAAUUAAAAUGCAAUCUAAAAUAUCUGUAAAGCUGCACAUAAAACAAGUGUACAUGCAGACUUAACGUAUUCGUGUACGCUUUGAUAUGG
RNAcentral lists this long non-coding RNA (1247 nucleotides) under Gossypium raimondii (Peruvian cotton). RNAcentral describes it as "long non-coding RNA (GRAI_LNC000935)". The record is from RNAcentral. Lineage: Eukaryota; Viridiplantae; Streptophyta; Magnoliopsida; Malvales; Malvaceae.